AUAUAUAUUGCUCUACUGCUGCUUAAUUCUUCCCAAACAAACCCUCCCUAAACCCAUACAAACAUAUUUUAUUGGAGUUACUUAGUCACUGGGGAUUGAAUAUCUUGACAUGUGACAAAUUUCAGCUUGACAACUGAGUUUAAAAAGAUAUGGAGAUCUAUUUGGGGGAGUCAUCUGCACAAUGUGCACAUGCAGUAAUGCUUUUGCUUUGGCCAAACUGGGCAUAGUACUGUUUUAUAUUCAUGUAGGCUGUAGCACUAUCAUUUGCCUUCAAUGAAUUAGGUUUUGCGUUGUUUUCUAAUUACACAUACCUGCAUAUUUUUAAGUUUACUUCAUAUUUCCAUGUGGGUAUUAUUUUGAUCAUUUUUAAUCUUUUGCAUGUGCCUUUUGAUAUUUGUUUUCUGUUUUCUCAUAAAUGGAAAACAUAAAAAAGAUUAUAUAAACUGUACUCCAGUGAAACCAAUCAUGCCAGCUCAGCUGCACUGAAAAAUAGAUUAGUUUCAGUUUACAGAAAUCUCAACCCUCAGUUUCAGUUAAGAAAGUAAUAUCUAUCCUGUCCAUGUAUCCAACCUGUGGCAGCCCAAAUAUCUGAAGAUAGAUCCAAUUAAUCUAAAUUUUUUAUUUUACAGGUUUGCUACGGUUGAUAAUUGAUACCUUUCACAACCUAUAACCAACUAAAUAAUAUGAAUCCUAGUUAAAACGUAACAUAGUUACCUGGAACACGGUACCCUCAGGUCAUGGUAGGGAUACACAGUACAUACGAUAAUUUUUUUAAAAACAAACACAUAAUUCAAAAUUUUUGUAAAAUUUUUGUUAUUUAUUAUUAUUAUUA
RNAcentral lists this unclassified non-coding RNA (832 nucleotides) under Hevea brasiliensis (rubber tree). Lineage: Eukaryota; Viridiplantae; Streptophyta; Magnoliopsida; Malpighiales; Euphorbiaceae. The record is from RNAcentral.